Molecule: long non-coding RNA, 10558 nt
Filed under: Prunus persica (peach)
Lineage: Eukaryota; Viridiplantae; Streptophyta; Magnoliopsida; Rosales; Rosaceae
Description: long non-coding RNA (PPER_LNC003022)
Source: RNAcentral
GAAAGAAGGUGAGAACAUCCUUGUGGAUACAGGUGCUUAUCAUGCACCAAAUGUUGCGAAAUGGAAUGCGAAAAGGGUUUCAUUGAUGGGUAGUGGUAUCAAAUCUCUAGAUGAAACACCAAGAUCUCCCAAUCUGUUGACCUUAUUUCUCAGAGGAAUUUUUUUAAAGAGGAUUGUGGAUGACUUCUUUGAUUUCAUGCCUACGCUACGAGUUCUGGAUUUGUCUGAAAAUGUCCUUAUAACUCAACUGCCAACUGGAGUUGCAAAUCUAGUUUCAUUACAACAUCUGAAUUUGUCCAAAACAGGCAUAAAAUGGUUGCCGGAGGAGUUAGCAGCAUGUGCACGCCUAAAGUAUUUGAACUUAGAGCAUACAUUUAAGCUUGAUUAUGUUCCACCAAAUUUAUUAUCAAGUUUUCCGCUGCUUGAAGUUUUGAGAAUACUAGAUUGUGGUUCUUCUGACCGAAUUUUUUUUUAUAGUGAGGAAACCAUGAUAGACGAACUGCAGGGUUUGAAACACCUUGACGUCUUGUCUUUGACAGUUGGAAGUAGCUCUUGUUUCGAGAAUUUGGACAGCCACCACAUAUUAGUGACUUGCACUCUAACUUUAUGCCUCAAGGGCGAGGAUUACGGGAACCCUUCAAGCUAUCUUGAUUUAUCACCUGUGGCGAUGGCAAAUAUGAAACACCUUGAUACCCUUCAAAUUAAACGUAUGGUGGGUGUGUACUCUACGUGGAUAACACGUCUGGAAAAUCCGAAUCGCUUCCUUGGUCUUCAGUUCGUAGAAGUAGUAGAUUGCACAAAUCUCAAGAACCUGGAAUGGCUCGUUUUUGCUCCAAAUCUCAUCCACUUGCAUGUAUAUGGCUGCUCUAAAAUGACGGGAAUACUCGGUUUGAACAGAACGGAAACUACCCCAUUUGCAAAACUCACUGUUUUGCGUUUGAGCAAACUACCCCACUUGUGGAGAAUAUGCGAAAAUCCCUUGCCCGUUCCAUUUUUGAAGAAAAUCCUUAUAUCUGGAUGUCCAGUGCUCACUAGGCUGCCUCUCAACUCUAGCAGUGCUCAAACAAGUAAUCUCAUUAUUGAAGGAGAGGAAAAGUGGUGGAAUGGCUUAGAGUGGGAGGACCAAGCGGCUCGAAAUGCUUUUCUUCCCUGCUUCAGAUCCUGUAAGUGAGGAGGGGCUUCCUGAAAUGCCCGUUCACCAAUUUAAUUGGGUAAUGUCAGCAAAGUAACCGGGAGAUUUCACUUUGUUUCCUUUCCCAUGUUUGUUUUGAGUAGGAAUGGAAAACAAAGUUUGUAUAAUUUUUCAAUUAUACCCAUAUUAAAUCAAAUAAAAAAAGAAUGCAUUUAAUGAUACGUUGUAAUUCUAAAUUGUUCAUAGGGACAAAAUAGUCAUGAAAAUUGUGCAUUGAAUGUUGGCUCAUUUUCCCAAACUUUCCCAUGAUGAGGGAAAACAAAACCCAAGUUAAGAGGAGGGCUUCACUUUCCUCCUACUUUCCCAUGUGCCAGGCAACCAUUUCCCAUGCAUGGACUUACCAAACAUGGGAAAGCAAUUGAAUUCCUAUUCCCAAGCCUCCUUUCCUAUGAACCAAACGAGGCCUUAAGGCAAUGUAUUAUAAUCCGGCUAUGUACAUGAUGUCUGAACUUUAAUAAUUACAUGAUUGUCAAUAUGAUAUUACAUCAUAUUAUUAUUGCCAACAAAUCGUUCCAAUAUGUUGAUGGUUCUGAUUAAUUUUACAUCAAGAAGUCUCGAGGUAUGAAUUUUGACACAACAAGAGGUCUCUACGUAAUUUGCUAAUGUUUUCAUGUUAUAAGUUUGGUAAUGAGAUGUUAUAUUGUUAGUAUAUUUCCCUUUAUUAAUCCAACCCAACUAAUGUAAUGAAGAAACAGUGGUAUGUCAAUUAAAAUUUAUUCUUUUGUGAUAAUGGAUAAAAUAUAAAUAAAAAGAAUUUAUUCAUUAAAAUAUGUCUAACCCAUUGCCAGAGAAUACAUGAGACAAAUAUAACUAAUUUGACUUGUUCACAUGGAAUCAUUUCUUGUUCACAUGGAAUAGGGAGACUAAUGACUUGUUCACAUGGAAUAAUUUCUUGUUCUUAUAUAAUUAAUAAUGCUGAAGCUAAAGAAAGUUGACCCAAUAAUUAUUAAUUUGAACAAGCAUGAUAAGCAAUAUCCAAUAUUGAAAUUGGCCAGAAUAGUUUAUAAACUAUAUUACUUUAUAUUAUUAAUUAAUUCAUUUUCUCUUUGAUUUCUUUUGUAUAAAAUUGAAAAAUAUUAAUACUUCUCGUUUCAUUGAUUCAUUAUCAGAAGAUUCAGACCCAGAACCAACCAGUAGAGCUUUACUUAUUAAAAGAAGACUAUGAACUUGACAUGAACUUGAUUACUCUCUGAAUUUUUGUAUUGAUGGAGUUUCUUUACUUUUUCAUGUGCUCUAAACACAAAUGGGAAGUUGUUAAUGUACAUCAAAUUCACUCAGAUAAUGAAGGGUUUAGUCACUGAUCUCUCGGCAAGAUAACAUGGAAUUUAUCUCUAUCUAUUUGGAAAACCUUUUAAAGAGGUUUCAAAUCUCUAACGCCAUCUUCAAUGCUAAAAGGGCUAAAUCCAAAUUUUCACCCUUCAAAAUACAACUAUUCAUGUAUUGCCCGAACUCAAAUAGUUUUUUCCCCCAACCCUCCAGACUCACCAUAGCCUUAUUAAAUUGUCUAAAAAUAGUUUAACUCUUUUUGUUAAAAUAGUGAAACAUUCUUGAGCUAAGUUUUGUUUAUAACUUCAUGAUUUAUUUUUCCAAACAUUUUUAACCUAAAAAAUUAAAAUUUGACUAACUUAAUUUUAUUUCAAUUAAAAUGAAAACUUGUAGGCCAUUAUCCCAUAUAGCUUGAAUUAUUUUCUGAUUUGGUGCUCAUCUCCUCUUGUCUUCUUUCAAUUAUUUUUUGACUUUGUGUCCAUCUCCCUUAUCUCCUUCAGCUUUUCCUUUCUUGGAUUCUCUUUAUUUCAUCUAUAUCUCCUCAUCUAUUUCUUGAAUUAUUAUCUGACAUGGUUCACAUCCCACACUCUACAUAAAGCAUCAUCUUCUUGUGGUCUCAAAUUCACACCUCUUUGGGGUUUUGGGGCCAUAUUGAAAAGGAUUAAAAGGAGAAUGAACAAAAUUUUCAAAGUGAGAAAUGAACAAAAUUGAUUUUGGUGGGUUAUUUAACAAAUGAAUGGGUAUUUAUAGAGUUUAGGAUGAGUUUUGGGGUUACAUCUCAUUUUUACCAUUUAAUUAUUUUUUUUCCCAACUAGAUUUUAUUUUUGAACGUUGAAUCUAUUUUAUUUCCAUUGAAAUUUAAGAAUUAAUCCUCGCCUUUGAUCAUAUAGCCGUUGGAACAAUUUGAAAAAAGAAAACAAAGGCAAGUUUUAAUUGUGGCCAUUUGAUUUCAAUGGCAAUAUUCAUAUUGCAAUCCACGUGCCCCCAGGGGUGGCUGACACAAUGGGUCCACAAAACUGAAAGGGCACGAGGUUCCACCAGAUGUCAAGAUGAAAUCUCGGAGGUCCAAGCCCAAGCCACGGAUUUGCGCCCAAGAUUUUCAGAGGUCAAUGUGCAAGUGACAAAGGUCUCACAAGGAAAGAAAUCAAGGAGGUUGAUGACGAUUCAGAAUUUUCCAAAAUGAGAGAAAAUCAAGCAACCAUAAUAUCUCCGCCGACGUGAUCUACGGAUUUAGGGGGCCUUAAAAGGAAAGAUUUUUUAAAGAGUUGACAUUUGGCCAUUCAAUGGCCAACGCAUGGGCUAACGGACGCCCUAUAUAAACUUCACCAAACGAAGGCAGAAGACACCCAUCAUCAGACACACAAACCUAUUUUUCGUCUCACACUUUUCUUUUCUUAGACUUAUUAGGAUUUUACUUUUCAAGCACCUAGUGUAACAAGUCCUUCCUUUCCUUAGUGUAAGUUUAAAUCCUUGCAAUUUACAUUACAUUGUCAUUUAAAUUCAAGUUUAUUUCAAUCGCUUUCUUUUUCAUUGUUAUUGAAUUUUCAUUAAGUUUAAAUUCAAGUUUAAUUUAGUUUACUGUUCUUAUCGUUCUUAUUUCGUUCUUGUUUAUUUAUCGCUUUGAUCUAUUUUAUCGCACUUUAAUUCUCGUCUUUACGUUAUUUAUUUUACGCACUUUACUUUAUGCAUUUAUCUUUAAAUUAUAUUUAAUUUUAAGCACCUUUACUUUACGCACUUGUUCUUCGUUUCAUUACGUUUCACCUUCAAUCUUCAUCUCCACCCACUCCACAUCAUUUGGUUGCUCACAUAAAACCUUGACCUCGAGGUAGUGAAAGAACGUAGACCGUGAGGAGAUUCCUUGCUCGGCCGAUCAAUCAUUUGAUUAAAAGUUAGAAGCGCGACAUAUUCAACAUACACUCACAUUCCAUCCAAGCCAAAUUCGUGGCUUGGUGGUGGCAUGCCCGACACUCGAAAAAGAAGUAGGACCAAAAGUUCCUUUCAUUGGCUUACUCGGCCAAAAAGAGGGAAACAGGUGCGAAGAGGAAGAAGAAGAAGAAGAAGAAGGAGAGAGAGAGAGAGAGAGAGAGAGGUGGGAAGAGAUCGACACAUUGAAUGUGCAAAAAUGAAAAUGAUAUUGGUAUUAUAAAUUAGUACCGCAAUUACCGAUUUGCUCCAUGAUUGACAAAACCGACCCAUUCGGUUCGGUCUGUUUGUUUGUUUUUCAUAAUAAAAUGCCAAGCUUAGAUGUAAAUAUCUGUUUUCUCUACUUAUUCCGACCUUCCCUUGUUUAUAAAUGUCAAGUCCCAGUUUAACUUAUAAUCCAUGACUGUAUGAUGAUUGUGAUUAUAUAUUAUUGUAUCAUAUGAAAUCCUAUGUCUCAUUCCUUUUUCCAUGUAUUGCAUUAUAAUUUUCUAAAAUCAUUUUCUUGAGGAAAAAGUUUUAAUGACAAAAAUAUCGGGUCUCCACUCCAUGUACUCGACGAGCUUCCCGUUUACCUGGCAGAAGGCCAAAUGGUGAUAGCAUACUCAGCCUCGACCAACUCUCCCUUGUCAUCCCAUCUACUCAAUUAAACAUGUCACUAAUGGAUGCAAAAUACAGUCAGGGUAAGGUUUUUCAUUUUUCACAAACAUUUUGGUUUCAUAACAAUUUAGCUGAGGCGCAUAAUGUUUAGAACUUUCACUUAGGUAACCUUCUCAUCUGGGCUUUCUGAAUAUUUCAAUUUGGUCCAUUCCCAACUUAGAAAUGUUCAUCUGGAUUGCGAUACAUUGCGAAUUUGCAAACAUUGAAACAGAAUGGCUCUCAUUUCUUGAUUGAUACCCACUCAUUUGUUCUGAAAUUGCACCUGGGUUUUCUUAGCUCCAACUAUGUCUCGAGCGUAGUUUUCUUCUGGGUUCUUUGACAUUUCAACAAACAGUUUGAGCUCCAACUUGGUUUCAAGUUCUGUACCAACAUGAGCGAUUCUGGACCUACUUGCCAAUUCUUUGCCCCAUAUCUUGAAUCCGGUGACAACAAGCAUCAACUAAAGCCUGAAUUUCCUAAUGCUGAUAAAGAUUUCAAAGAUCACUCUGACAUUGAAAGCCAUCCUUUCAAGAAACCCAAAACUUCUGAAGUUGUAUUGAUCUCUACGAUGCCCAUGGCGCAGAAUAAAAUGUUGCCUUGUAAUUUCAAAACCAGACUUUGCAAUAACUUCAAAAUGGGUAAUUGCCAUUAUGGGCAGGGAUGUUGUUUUGCCCAUGGAAUCAGUGAUCUCCGCAAGACUUGGCGUAAUUGGCAAGGACUGGAAACUCAGGAGGGCUUCAAGGCCAGGACUUGUGAUCAUAGAAGAACUUCUGAUGAUGUUUGCAGAUUGUUCUUUAAUGGGGGAAAAUGCACAUAUGGAGACAAGUGCCGCUAUCCUCAUCAUGUAACUCCUGAAAACAUCAGAGAGAAGUCAGCGAUAAGCAUUUCAACUACUGGUGCUCACAUUGGUGGUUCUGAUCAAUUUGUUGAAAAUGUUGAUUAUUUUGGGUCCAGCAUAUGAUAGUUUUGCUGAUGUUUACUUGCUAUAAGUUUGGUCAUAUGAAUAUUUUACAUGUUAUAUUCUUAGUAUAUUUCACUUUUAUUAAUCCAACUAAUGUAAUGAAGUAACAUUGGUGUGCCAAAAUUAAAAUUUAUUAUUAGUCAUAGCUUAUCGUGUAAGGGACAUAGGAAAUUGUUUAUUUUACUUAUUUUGCCUAGAACAUGAAAACAAAUUGGUUGCUUGACUUCAUUAAAGUAUGUCUAGCCCAUUGUAAGAGGAUCAAUUGAUUUCUCAUGAGUCAUGGCCCAUAAGAACUCUAGUUUCGUUUCACUGGUUCAUUAUGUCAGAAGAGGCACCCAAGGGAUAUUGGUCUAAUGGACUUGGUAUUUGGAAUGCAUGAUUGGUGAUGGUAUUCAUAAUGCUGUUGCAAUUUUCUCAAUUCUUAUUUAGAAGGUGACCAGGCUUCUCCAAGGAAAUUGAUAUUAGAUAUGUAUGAUUUCAUAGUGGCCUUAUAAGGUUUUUGCUCUUGCUGCAAGUUGGUUUAUAAGUUUAUAGAGAGAGAGAGAUAUAGUCUUUCAGUGCCUGGUUGUCUGCUUGAUGCAUCGAAUGUUUGACAUGAACUUGAUUACUCUUCCCUUAAAUUUUUAUUUUUUUUUGUUGUUGUAUUGACAGAGUUUCUUUACUUUUUUUUUUUCUUUUUUUUUCCCAUGUGCUCUAAAGAGAAAUGGGAAGUUGUUAAUGUACAUAACCUUCAUUUUAGGCAUUUGGCAGUAUCUUUUCUAUUUUGUUUUUAAAGUACAUAACCUUCAUUUUGUACUGAUCAUUACAAAAAUGGCACCCAUUAUUGGUAGCCAUUUGUAGUGAUGAACCAGAGGCCGUUAUGUUUUUCCUGCAGAACCAAUCUAGAGUCAUGAAUUGUUGAUUGUUCACAUUCAUCAAUGUCCCUUUUGAUUGACUAAGAGAUGCUCAAUAUUGUGCGAUGUGCAAUGAUUCUCAGAAAACUAAACUCUGAGUCGUAUCAUUGUUUUACAGAACUAAUGAAGCUUUGUGGCUAUAUGGCAGUGGAAUCAAGAAGUGUGCAGAAUUUGAGGACUUCUUCUACAAGUAUGUCAAAACGUAGGAUGGGAAUUGGGGCUACUUAUCAUAAACAAGUGCAGGGUAUGGAAUGCAACUUCAAGUGGAACAAACUCGAGAAAAUGAGUCGCAUCUAUGCUGAUUGGAUUGAAGAUAUCCCUCUUGUACAUGGCUCAUCAAGCAAAGCGGAGUGCUGAUCGAGUUUAGUUUGAUAUGUGUAAAGGAAGAGAUUAGCUCUGUAUUCUUCCUGUACAGAUAGGAAGUUUGUUGUGUUUUCCUAGAUCUAACACCUUAGUUUUGUUGAACAAGUGCGGAUUGACGUUUGAUCUCGAUACAUGGCUUAUGGCUUAAUAAUCAGAAGAUGCUUCGAAUGAAUCCAACUCUGCUGAAUCAGGAGAAUCCAACUCGACCAGAAAACCAGCAAACCUAAGUCCCUACAAAGAGGGCUUCUUAUAUCUUGAUUUUCCCCUAUCUCUGUUAUCCAGGGAUUUCAGUCGUUACUUUGCUUUUUGUAAAGGCAUGUUUUCUUUUUACAAGAUGUGGUGUGUCAAAUGGAUGUAACUAGCAGAAAAUUGGUGAACUGACUUGAGAAUGUUAUUUGCCAGUACCUCUCAGAGAAUGCUCCUUAGCUAUGUGUGUUCUUGGUUGUGUGUGUAUGAAUCUGAUUUGUGGCUGCUCAAAAUCUACCUUAUGUGUUUGCUGCUGUGUUAGACUCUAGUUAAUUCCAGUUGGUAAAUUUGUAGAAAAUGAGUAAUGAGGAAUGGUUGGUGUUUCUUUAAAUGUUGUUCUCAGCAACAUUUGAUAACUACGCUCUUUGCAUUUGUUGUUCAGUGUUUCAAAUUCUUAUGCUCUUGUUCCUACUGUUUCCAUGGUUCCAUGGUUCCAUGGUAGCAGAACAGCACAAUAUAGCUUCUAUUGCUGCCAAAUUCUUGAUGUAUCUCUACUUUCCCAAUAUUCCUUUUCUAGCGAAUUAAAAUUGCGACGACACAAUUGUUCAUCUCUUUAUCAUCAUGCCAUUUUUUGGAUGCAGAAGUGAUGAGGGAAAUGCAGAAUGGAUAGGCCAGCAGACAUGCUAUUUGUAACUGGUCGUCCAAGAAGUUGAGAAAGUUGCUCUACAAAGCUGGCGCUUUAUGAAUUUUUUUUUUCAAUUAUUCCGUCAUCUGUAGUGUAGUGUAGCUUUGCUUACUUACCAGUAAAAGUAUGUUAAAAAAUAACUUCACUGAAUGCAAAGGUUUUUUACUGCGCCUCAAUCUGUUUGUUUUUCUAUAAUUAGCGGAUUUCAUUUUCAUGACAAGGAGGAAAACAGGGGAAAACAGAACUAGGGAAAGAAACUCUCUCGCCAUAAACUGCUGCUAUUUAAUUUACAGAUAUUUUCUCUACAGGCUACACUGCAGUCUGCAGCCAUACAAUACAAAAGCUCCCACGUCACCUUCUAAAUGCCAUAGUUGACUUUCAGCCUGCAAAGUCUUCCUGUAAGUGACAUUAUUGUUAGAACGGCCCGAUUCGGCCUGGCCUGGUCGGGAAGAGAUUCACAUAGAGACUGUCGUUACCCGGGAAUCUAUUUCUUUCUAUGUUAGCUAGCGGGGGCGGGCUUUCCUAUGGUAGUCCCGCUGCUGCCUCUGACCGUCCGUCCCGUCUCAUCUUGAUUUGGCUGUACUUGUAUGUAGCCACCCUCCACAUGAUAGCCUAAAACUUUUCCUUUCUAGACGCAGCUCGCCCUUUGUGAGUCUUUCUUCUCCCAAAAAUGUUCUGAGCUUAAGUGCAAAUGUGGUCUGAGGGAAAGGAUUUCUUCUUCUCUGCUUAGCUUAUUCUUGUGCUCAGAGAAAGCAAAGCAAUGGGUAGCGUCUUGUCAAUCUCCUUAUCAUGCGAUGCCAUUGUUUCACGCUGCUGGGAUUCCGUUUUUGAAAGAGAACCAAAUGUACGUAAGCUCCAAGAAAACCUUCAAGCUCUCACAACUUCUUUACAAGAACUCAAGUCUUUAAAGAAUGAUGUGCAGAGAGAGGUUGAGCUUGCAGAGCGGCAGCCGCGAUUAAAGCGGUUAGAGCGGGUAAAUAACUGGAUUUUAAGCGUGGAGGCUCUUGAGACUGAAAUGAACGAAGUUAUUGUAAGCCAUAGCACUCAAGAAAUUGAGAAAUUAUGCUGCGGAGGUUACUGCUCCAAGAACUACAGAUCCAGCUACAAGUAUGGAAAAAAAGUUGCUAGAAAGUUGGUGGAAGUGGAGGCUUUGAAAAGCAAGGGAGUUUUUGAAGAGGUGGCAGCAGAAAGCUUACCUACAGCUCUAGUGGAUGUGAUACCUAGUGAGCCAACAGUAGGCAUGGAGCCGAUUUUUGAUCAGGUUUGGAGACACGUUGAAGAUGAACAAGUGGGAAUGAUUGGCUUAUAUGGAAUGGGAGGGGUGGGGAAGACCACCCUCCUUACCCAGAUCCAUAACAACUUCAACCGCACUCGUAAUGAUUUCAAUCUUGUGAUCUGGAUUGUGGUAUCCAAGGGCCACAAAAUUGAAGUUAUUCAAGAUAAGAUUGGUGAAAAGAUUGGGCUGUCUAGUGGUGUAUGGAAGCUUAAACAGCAGCAUGAAAAAGCUGAAGACAUCUUCAGAAUCUUGAACACAAAGAAGUUUGUGUUAUUAAUGGAUGAUUUAUGGGAGCCAGUUGAAUUAACCAAAGUAGGGGUUCCAGCUCCUGACAGUCGGAACAAGUUCAAGAUAGUUUUCACAACUCGCUCUGAGGAGGUAUGUGGUCAUAUGGAUGCCCAGAAGAAGAUAAAGGUGGGGUGUUUGACUUGGGACAAAGCAUGGAACUUGUUUCAGAAGAAGGUUGGGAAACAAACACUUCUUCUUCAUCCAGAUAUCCCCAAGCUUGCUGAAAUUGUGGCGAACGAGUGUGGCGGUUUGCCACUGGCACUCAUCACAGUGGGCAGGGUCAUGGCCUGCAAGAAAACACCCCAAGAGUGGAAGCGUGCAGUUCAAGUCCUGAGAAGAUUUGCCUCCGAGUUUUCAGGAAUGGGAGAUAAGGUAUUCCCUCUUUUAAAAUUCAGUUACGAUAAUUUACCAAGUCAGAAAGUUAGAUCAUGUUUCUUAUACUGUGCUCUGUUUCCGGAAGAUUUUGUCAUACUUAAAGAUGACUUGGUAUAUUUUUGGAUGUGUGAGGAUAUAUUAGAUGAAUAUGGUAAUGUAGAGGAAGCCAAAAAUGAGAGUUACCAUAUCAUAGGAACUCUUCUUACCUCAUGUUUGUUGGAAGAUGAAGGAGAUUCAGUAAAAAUGCAUGAUGUAAUUCGUGACAUGGCAUUGUGGUUAGCUUGUGACCUUGGGAAAGAAGGCGAGAACAUCGUUGUGGAUACUGGUGCACCAAAUGUUGCGAAAUGGAAGAACGCGAAAAGGGUUUCAUUGAUGAGUAGUGGUAUCACAUCUCUAGAUGAAACACCAAGAUCUCCCAAUCUGUUGACCUUAUUUCUCAGAGGAAGUUCUUUAAAGAGGAUUGUGGAUGACUUCUUUGAUUUCAUGCCUAUGCUACGAGUUCUGGAUUUGUCUG